AGUCAUGGUUAAGUGGGAAACGAUGUGGGAAGGCCCAGACAGCCAGGAUGUUGGCUUAGAAGCAGCCAUCAUUUAAAGAAAGCGUAAUAGCUCACUGGUCGAGUCGGCCUGCGCGGAAGAUGUAACGGGGCUAAACCAUGCACCGAAGCUGCGGCAGCGACGCUUAUGCGUUGUUGGGUAGGGGAGCGUUCUGUAAGCCUGUGAAGGUGUGCUGUGAGGUAUGCUGGAGGUAUCAGAAGUGCGAAUGCUGACAUAAGUAACGAUAAAGCGGGUGAAAAGCCCGCUCGCCGGAAGACCAAGGGUUCCUGUCCAACGUUAAUCGGGGCAGGGUGAGUCGACCCCUAAGGCGAGGCCGAAAGGCGUAGUCGAUGGGAAACAGGUUAAUAUUCCUGUACUUGGUGUUACUGCGAAGGGGGGACGGAGAAGGCUAUGUUGGCCGGGCGACGGUUGUCCCGGUUUAAGCGUGUAGGCUGGUUUUCCAGGCAAAUCCGGAAAAUCAAGGCCGAGGCGUGAUGACGAGGCACUACGGUGCUGAAGCAACAAAUGCCCUGCUUCCAGGAAAAGCCUCUAAGCAUCAGGUAACAUCAAAUCGUACCCCAAACCGACACAGGUGGUCAGGUAGAGAAUACCAAGGCGCUUGAGAGAACUCGGGUGAAGGAACUAGGCAAAAUGGUGCCGUAACUUCGGGAGAAGGCACGCUGAUACGUAGGUGAAGCGACUUGCUCGUGGAGCUGAAAUCAGUCGAAGAUACCAGCUGGCUGCAACUGUUUAUUAAAAACACAGCACUGUGCAAACACGAAAGUGGACGUAUACGGUGUGACGCCUGCCCGGUGCCGGAAGGUUAAUUGAUGGGGUUAGCGCAAGCGAAGCUCUUGAUCGAAGCCCCGGUAAACGGCGGCCGUAACUAUAACGGUCCUAAGGUAGCGAAAUUCCUUGUCGGGUAAGUUCCGACCUGCACGAAUGGCGUAAUGAUGGCCAGGCUGUCUCCACCCGAGACUCAGUGAAAUUGAACUCGCUGUGAAGAUGCAGUGUACCCGCGGCAAGACGGAAAGACCCCGUGAACCUUUACUAUAGCUUGACACUGAACAUUGAGCCUUGAUGUGUAGGAUAGGUGGGAGGCUUUGAAGUGUGGACGCCAGUCUGCAUGGAGCCGACCUUGAAAUACCACCCUUUAAUGUUUGAUGUUCUAACGUGGACCCGUGAUCCGGGUUGCGGACAGUGUCUGGUGGGUAGUUUGACUGGGGCGGUCUCCUCCUAAAGAGUAACGGAGGAGCACGAAGGUUGGCUAAUCCUGGUCGGACAUCAGGAGGUUAGUGCAAUGGCAUAAGCCAGCUUGACUGCGAGCGUGACGGCGCGAGCAGGUGCGAAAGCAGGUCAUAGUGAUCCGGUGGUUCUGAAUGGAAGGGCCAUCGCUCAACGGAUAAAAGGUACUCCGGGGAUAACAGGCUGAUACCGCCCAAGAGUUCAUAUCGACGGCGGUGUUUGGCACCUCGAUGUCGGCUCAUCACAUCCUGGGGCUGAAGUAGGUCCCAAGGGUAUGGCUGUUCGCCAUUUAAAGUGGUACGCGAGCUGGGUUUAGAACGUCGUGAGACAGUUCGGUCCCUAUCUGCCGUGGGCGCUGGAGAACUGAGGGGGGCUGCUCCUAGUACGAGAGGACCGGAGUGGACGCAUCACUGGUGUUCGGGUUGUCAUGCCAAUGGCACUGCCCGGUAGCUAAAUGCGGAAGAGAUAAGUGCUGAAAGC
This 1743-nucleotide ribosomal RNA is filed under the name Shigella flexneri. RNAcentral's name for it is "partial 23S ribosomal RNA". It matches the Rfam family "Bacterial large subunit ribosomal RNA", at positions 1051 to 2778 of the family's 2925-position model. The record is from RNAcentral. Lineage: Bacteria; Pseudomonadati; Pseudomonadota; Gammaproteobacteria; Enterobacterales; Enterobacteriaceae.